RNAcentral lists this long non-coding RNA (366 nucleotides) under Physcomitrium patens. Its description in RNAcentral is "long non-coding RNA (PPAT_LNC008140)". The record is from RNAcentral. Lineage: Eukaryota; Viridiplantae; Streptophyta; Bryopsida; Funariales; Funariaceae.
CCAAUCACAUCAAUCUUAGUCGGAUCUUGUUUUCUUCCAUAAAAUCUAAAAAAAUAUCCAACAAUCACAACCUCUUAUGCUCCAGAUGUAGAUUUUGUUUCCGAUAAUAUAAGAUAAAUUUCUCCAAGUUGAGUCAAUACUUUUUUACAAUCUUGUAUAUGAUCAAUAACAUACUUGUGACACCCCUUCUUAUCUAAAGUUUCAUCCUUGUCUUCUUCUUUGUACCCCUUUAUAAGAACAUCAUCUAGUAAAGGUACAGUUUUCUCUGGAAUAAAAUCUCUCAAUACCUUAUUCAUCUCAUUCAUCAUAUGUGCAAUUGAGUUAGUUGUAUCUUGAGGAAGAGUACACAUUCUAACUAAUCCAAGU